RNAcentral lists this ribosomal RNA (409 nucleotides) under Philine sp. 11 TRO-2014. RNAcentral's name for it is "partial 16S ribosomal RNA". It matches the Rfam family "Archaeal large subunit ribosomal RNA", at positions 1952 to 2665 of the family's 2987-position model. The record is from RNAcentral. Lineage: Eukaryota; Metazoa; Mollusca; Gastropoda; Cephalaspidea; Philinidae.
AGCCCUAAGAAAUUAUUUAGGGUGUAAUCUGCCCAAUGAAUUUUAAAUGGCCGCGGUACUUUGACCGUGCUAAGGUAGCAUAAUCAAUUGACUUUUAAAUGGAGUCUGGAAUGAAGGAAAAAACGGGAUUAAGCUGUCUCUAAUUUUUUAUUUUGAAUUUACUAAUUAGGUGAAAAGGCCUAAGUAAGAUAAAAGACGAGAAGACCCUUAGAGUUUUAAUAUAUUUUCGUUGGGGCGACGUGGAAUCAGAAGUUAACAUUCUGUUAAUUAUAUGACGGAUUUUUCAUGAUUAGAUAAACUACCUGAGGGAUAACAGCAUAAUCUUAUUAGGUUUGUGACCUCGAUGUUGGACUAGGAAGCCUUUAGGCUAGUCGCCUAAAAGGGGAAUUCUGUUCGAAUUUUUACUCCU